GGGGUCGACUGGUUUUGACAGCAGGACGGACCGGACAGUAAGCACGCCGGGAAAUGAGGCUGUUCCCGUACAUCAUUGCCUUAAACAUUUAAACGGCGAAAAUAACUACGCUCUUGCUGCUUAAUCCGAAUAAAGUAAGAUAAAGCCACGUCCCUGCAAGGCAGGGAGGCGGGAUUCUCCUGAAAAGCCCUGGUUUAUGGCGUUUCGAUUAGGAGAACCGUAAAAAUAGACCUGGGGGCCGCUUCGCUUCGCGGAGGCUCUGAGAAAACAGAAGCUAAGUGGUGUGUGGCAGUUUCCGGCCUUGCACACUAACGAAAAUCCAAGCGGAAACUAAGCGUGUAGAAAGCUCUUCUAUCCCCUGUUUGGACCCGGGUUCGAUUCCCGGCGAUUCCACGA
RNAcentral lists this transfer-messenger RNA (396 nucleotides) under Flavobacterium sp. MFBS3-15. It matches the Rfam family "transfer-messenger RNA". From Rfam's summary of the family: Bacterial tmRNA, also known as 10Sa RNA or SsrA, is named for its dual tRNA and mRNA-like properties. The record is from RNAcentral. Lineage: Bacteria; Pseudomonadati; Bacteroidota; Flavobacteriia; Flavobacteriales; Flavobacteriaceae.